UCCUAGUUUACAUUUAGAUGAGCCCCAGCUCUCAGAGUUCCCUGGGAAAUGUCACCUCUUGGCCACAGAAGAUUCCCCAAAGCACAAAAGCUGAGAUGAUGGUCCUGGUUUUCCAUAAGAUACAGCUGAUACCUGGGUCCUGAACAGGACACAAGUCUGUAAGCCACAUUUGAACAUAGGGGAAGGCUUUGCAGACCCUUUCCAGUUUUCAUCCUGGGUGUUUCUGAACAGGAUUAUAUCUCAUUGAAAUAUUUGCACCUCUACCUACAGACAAGGAAAAGGCUUGGAGCACCUCCAUUCAUUGUGCCAACAGGACCUGAAUGACCACAUCCCAACUGAUGGAAGAGAUGACUCAGAGAUUACAUUAUUCAGGGUUUAUAUUAUUUUUCUACAAAUGAAGCUUAAAGAUGUAGAGCAGAAUUUUCUAACCUGUGGGCCACCAUUCUCUAGGAAGACCAAGGAGCCAUCGCAAGAGAAUUUUAAUUGCACACGUACGUAUACAUUUUCCUCACAAACACAUAACAAAAGUCAACUGGGA
Molecule: long non-coding RNA, 538 nt
Filed under: Macaca mulatta (Rhesus monkey)
Lineage: Eukaryota; Metazoa; Chordata; Mammalia; Primates; Cercopithecidae
Description: lncRNA (ENSMMUG00000040394.2)
Source: RNAcentral